RNAcentral lists this ribosomal RNA (1564 nucleotides) under Escherichia coli. RNAcentral describes it as "partial 23S ribosomal RNA". It matches the Rfam family "Bacterial large subunit ribosomal RNA", at positions 1270 to 2819 of the family's 2925-position model. The record is from RNAcentral. Lineage: Bacteria; Pseudomonadati; Pseudomonadota; Gammaproteobacteria; Enterobacterales; Enterobacteriaceae.
AUGCUGGAGGUAUCAGAAGUGCGAAUGCUGACAUAAGUAACGAUAAAGCGGGUGAAAAGCCCGCUCGCCGGAAGACCAAGGGUUCCUGUCCAACGUUAAUCGGGGCAGGGUGAGUCGACCCCUAAGGCGAGGCCGAAAGGCGUAGUCGAUGGGAAACAGGUUAAUAUUCCUGUACUUGGUGUUACUGCGAAGGGGGGACGGAGAAGGCUAUGUUGGCCGGGCGACGGUUGUCCCGGUUUAAGCGUGUAGGCUGGUUUUCCAGGCAAAUCCGGAAAAUCAAGGCUGAGGCGUGAUGACGAGGCACUACGGUGCUGAAGCAACAAAUGCCCUGCUUCCAGGAAAAGCCUCUAAGCAUCAGGUAACAUCAAAUCGUACCCCAAACCGACACAGGUGGUCAGGUAGAGAAUACCAAGGCGCUUGAGAGAACUCGGGUGAAGGAACUAGGCAAAAUGGUGCCGUAACUUCGGGAGAAGGCACGCUGAUAUGUAGGUGAAGUCCCUCGCGGAUGGAGCUGAAAUCAGUCGAAGAUACCAGCUGGCUGCAACUGUUUAUUAAAAACACAGCACUGUGCAAACACGAAAGUGGACGUAUACGGUGUGACGCCUGCCCGGUGCCGGAAGGUUAAUUGAUGGGGUUAGCGCAAGCGAAGCUCUUGAUCGAAGCCCCGGUAAACGGCGGCCGUAACUAUAACGGUCCUAAGGUAGCGAAAUUCCUUGUCGGGUAAGUUCCGACCUGCACGAAUGGCGUAAUGAUGGCCAGGCUGUCUCCACCCGAGACUCAGUGAAAUUGAACUCGCUGUGAAGAUGCAGUGUACCCGCGGCAAGACGGAAAGACCCCGUGAACCUUUACUAUAGCUUGACACUGAACAUUGAGCCUUGAUGUGUAGGAUAGGUGGGAGGCUUUGAAGUGUGGACGCCAGUCUGCAUGGAGCCGACCUUGAAAUACCACCCUUUAAUGUUUGAUGUUCUAACGUUGACCCGUGAUCCGGGUUGCGGACAGUGUCUGGUGGGUAGUUUGACUGGGGCGGUCUCCUCCUAAAGAGUAACGGAGGAGCACGAAGGUUGGCUAAUCCUGGUCGGACAUCAGGAGGUUAGUGCAAUGGCAUAAGCCAGCUUGACUGCGAGCGUGACGGCGCGAGCAGGUGCGAAAGCAGGUCAUAGUGAUCCGGUGGUUCUGAAUGGAAGGGCCAUCGCUCAACGGAUAAAAGGUACUCCGGGGAUAACAGGCUGAUACCGCCCAAGAGUUCAUAUCGACGGCGGUGUUUGGCACCUCGAUGUCGGCUCAUCACAUCCUGGGGCUGAAGUAGGUCCCAAGGGUAUGGCUGUUCGCCAUUUAAAGUGGUACGCGAGCUGGGUUUAGAACGUCGUGAGACAGUUCGGUCCCUAUCUGCCGUGGGCGCUGGAGAACUGAGGGGGGCUGCUCCUAGUACGAGAGGACCGGAGUGGACGCAUCACUGGUGUUCGGGUUGUCAUGCCAAUGGCACUGCCCGGUAGCUAAAUGCGGAAGAGAUAAGUGCUGAAAGCAUCUAAGCACGAAACUUGCCCCGAGAUGAGUUCUCCCUGAC